AAACUCACUUUUUUUGGACUCGAUGGGGGAGUUGGUGAGACGUUGGACGAGUUGUUAAGGGGUUAGUAGGUUGUAGGGGUUGGGUGAACCAGUUCGUUGAGCUGGAGAAGCUCUCUAUUUGGGCCCUCACUAGGCGAGUGGUCCGUGGUCGUUGGGCAAGUGUUUAGGGAUAGUUUGAUUAUUUUGAUUUUUAUUUCUCAUUUGUGUUUGGAUUUAAAUGAUGUAAUAUUUUAUCUGAUACUU
RNAcentral lists this long non-coding RNA (243 nucleotides) under Vigna radiata. RNAcentral describes it as "long non-coding RNA (VRAD_LNC010569)". Lineage: Eukaryota; Viridiplantae; Streptophyta; Magnoliopsida; Fabales; Fabaceae. The record is from RNAcentral.